UUAAACAUAAAAAGAAAUAAAAUAGAUAAUAGAUAGAGAAGUGGAGAAGUCGACAAAUGCUAAAACUUUACCCGGAUUUCGACUUCUCCCAAAAUUAAAUCCUCAUUUUGACUUCUCAAUGGAAUUGCAAGUUUUUGAAUCAACUGAUAUAGACCCAAUUUCAAGUUGUGAGGCUCCUGAGUAUGUUUUAGGUGGAAGCAAUGAAGGUAGAUUGGGUUUUGGAGUUGCUGGUACUUCACAAGAUCAUCACGAUGAUGGUGGUGGCCAGAGUCGAAGGAUUGAUCGUGAAAAUGGUCUCAUUUUGGGGGCCUAGAGAGAUGAUUCUGGCUCUGUUGUUGGCUUUAACUUGAUCCCUCCAUUUGUGGUCAAUGAAUUCCAUGACCCUUCUGCCCAAGUCAAAGUUGAAGAAGAGUCCCAUGCUUUUCAAGAGAUUUUACUCUUGGCUAAUAUAUAAGAUGGGUUCAUUAUUGAAGAAGAUGAGUAUGCACCAUAUGUACAAGAAGAGAGACAAAUGAAUAUGCCACAAGAUCCAAGUAGAUGGUGGGCAUCUGUCACUUUGUUAUGCAUCCAAGGGGUUACCGAGAAUGAAGAUGCUUCCAUAUAUGAUAGUGAUUUCAAUAGUUUGUGUAGUGAUGAGGAUGAGUGUGACCAAAAGAGGAGCAAGAAAGAGUACAAUCCAAAGAAUGUAGAAUUCAUCACGUUCAAAUUCUGUUUGGGGAUGGAAUUUGCCACUGUUGAGCAACUCAGACAUGCUCUAAAAAAGCACUUUAUUGGCAAUGAUAGGGAGUUUCUGGUUGUCAUUAAUGAUCAAUUAAGAGUUCGAGCAAAGUGUAGAGGCAAAGGUUGUCCAUGGGUGUUAUAUGCAAGACAACAAAAAGGUGUGGACAACAAGAGUUUUAGAGUUAACACUCUAGUUUAUCGACAUGAAUGUGGCAUUGUUUUAAACGACAGGCAUGUGGAUUCCACAUGGCUAGGGAAUCAAUUUUUAAAACAAUUUCGUAUGAAUCCCAACAUGAGUUUCAAAUGUUGUAACGAGAUUACUUCGAAGGGUAAAUAUGCAAAUACAACCAGUGAUGCGUUCUACAGAGCAAAGAAAGUUGCUACAGAAAUUCUUGAAGGAGCAAUAUGCAAUUCUAGAAGAUUACUGUAACCAAAUUCGAGCAACUAACCCUGGUUCUACUACUAUACUUAAUACUAGGAUGGAAGGGGACAAGAGACACUUUGAAAGAGUUUAUAUUUGUCUACAGGCAUGCAAAGAAGGAUUCAACAGAGGAUGCAGGCCAUUGAUUGGUGUAGAUGGUAGCUUUCUUAAAGGCUAUUGCAAGGGGCAUGUUGUUAGUAGAAAUUGGAAUUGAUGCAGUCAAUGCAAUGUUCCCAAUUGCUUAUGCUGUAGUGGAGAAGGAGAACAAAUCAAGUUGGACUUCGUUCCUUGAAUUAGUGAAAGAGGAUUUACAAAUCCAAAAUCCACAAAGCUUUUGUAUGCUAAGUGACAGGAAAAAAGGCCUUGAAAUGCUUUGGAGAAGUUAUUUGAAGGUGCUAAAGUUAGAUUGUGUGUUAGGCAUUUACAUGCCAACUUCAAGAAAGAUUACCCUGGUUUGCUACUUAAGCAAAUGUUGUGGGCAGCACCAAGGGACACCACCAAAGAAGAAUGGCGAAGGAGAAUGUAUGCUUGAAACAAAUCAGCGAGCCUGCAUACACUUAGUUGUCCAAUAAGGCACCUAUAGAGUGGACCAAGUCCCAUUUCAAGGAGCAUGUGAAGUAUGGUAUGCUUUGAAAUAAUCUAUGUGAGAGCUUCAACGCAGCAAUAAUAGGCUCUAGGGACAAGACUAUUAUAAUCUUGUUGGAGAAAAUAAGGUAUUGGCUCAUGCGCAGAUUUUGUACUAAGAGGGGAAGUGUUAAAAAGUGGGUGCAUCUGGUUGGCAAGAGGAUCUUGGACAUUAUUGAGAAGAACAAAAAAGUGGCAAGGCAUUGUCUCCCAACCAUGUCCACCUUAACUACAUUUGAGGUAAAUUUCAUGAACAUAGAAGUCUUUGUUGUGGAUUUGUACAAGCGAACUUGCGCAUGUAGGAGUUUCCAGUUGAAUGGAAUACCUUGUGGUCAUGCACUAGCAUGUAUUUGAUUUAGCAACCUAUAUUUCAUGAAUUUCAUAGAUGAUUUCUACAAGAAAUUUGCAUUUGAAGCAACCUAUUAAGGAGCAAUUCUACUCAGAAUCCUCAUAAAUGGUCUAUGACUACUCAUAAUCCUAUAUUACCAACCCUAGAAACUUUAAUGCCAGGAUAACCC
Humulus lupulus (European hop) is the source of this 2283-nucleotide long non-coding RNA. RefSeq lists it as uncharacterized. The transcript has 3 exons. Lineage: Eukaryota; Viridiplantae; Streptophyta; Magnoliopsida; Rosales; Cannabaceae. The record is from RefSeq and is a predicted model, not a curated record.